RNAcentral lists this ribosomal RNA (497 nucleotides) under uncultured bacterium. RNAcentral's name for it is "partial 16S ribosomal RNA". It matches the Rfam family "Bacterial small subunit ribosomal RNA", at positions 28 to 507 of the family's 1533-position model. The record is from RNAcentral.
GACGAACGCUGGCGGCGUGCCUAAUACAUGCAAGUUGAGCGAUGAAGAUUGGUGCUUGCACCAAUUUGAAGAGCAGCGAACGGGUGAGUAACGCGUGGGGAAUCUGCCUUUGAGCGGGGGACAACAUUUGGAAACGAAUGCUAAUACCGCAUAACAACUUUAAACAUAAGUUUUAAGUUUGAAAGAUGCAAUUGCAUCACUCAAAGAUGAUCCCGCGUUGCAUUAGCUAGUUGGUGAGGUAAAGGCUCACCAAGGCGAUGAUACAUAGCCGACCUGAGAGGGUGAUCGGCCACAUUGGGACUGAGACACGGCCCAAACUCCUACGGGAGGCAGCAGUAGGGAAUCUUCGGCAAUGGACGAAAGUCUGACCGAGCAACGCCGCGUGAGUGAAGAAGGUUUUCGGAUCGUAAAACUCUGUUGGUAGAGAAGAACGUUGGUGAGAGUGGAAAGCUCAUCAAGUGACGGUAACUACCCAGAAAGGGACGGCUAACUACGUG